AAGGAUGUAGCGCAGCUUCADAGCGCAUUUGUUUUGGNUACAAAAUGUCACGGGUUCAAAUCCUGUCAUCCUUACCA
Molecule: transfer RNA, 77 nt
Filed under: Cucumis sativus (cucumber)
Lineage: Eukaryota; Viridiplantae; Streptophyta; Magnoliopsida; Cucurbitales; Cucurbitaceae
Description: transfer RNA-Pro
Rfam family: tRNA
About the family: Transfer RNA (tRNA) molecules are approximately 80 nucleotides in length.
Source: RNAcentral